Molecule: ribosomal RNA, 252 nt
Filed under: uncultured bacterium
Lineage: Bacteria
Description: partial 16S ribosomal RNA
Rfam family: Bacterial small subunit ribosomal RNA
Source: RNAcentral
UACGGGGGGGCAAGCGUUGUUCGGAAUUACUGGGCGUAAAGGGCUCGUAGGUGGCCAACUAAGUCAGACGUGAAAUCCCUCAGCUUAACUGGGGAACUGCGUCUGAUACUGGAUGGCUUGAGUUUGGGAGAGGGAUGCGGAAUUCCAGGUGUAGCGGUGAAUGACGUAGAUAUCUGGAGGAACACCGGUGGCGAAGGCGGCAUCCUGGACCAACACUGACACUGAUGAGCGAAAGCCAGGGGAGCAAACGGG